UACGUAGGUGGCAAGCGUUAAUCGGAAUUACUGGGCGUAAAGCGCACGCAGGCGGUUUGUUAAGUCAGAUGUGAAAUCCCCGGGCUCAACCUGGGAACUGCAUUUGAAACUGGCAAGCUAGAGUCUCGUAGAGGGGGGUAGAAUUCCAGGUGUAGCGGUGAAAUGCGUAGAGAUCUGGAGGAAUACCGGUGGCGAAGGCGGCUCUCUGGUCUGUAACUGACGCUGAGGCUCGAAAGCGUGGGGAGCAAACAGG
Molecule: ribosomal RNA, 253 nt
Filed under: uncultured bacterium
Lineage: Bacteria
Description: partial 16S ribosomal RNA
Rfam family: Bacterial small subunit ribosomal RNA
Source: RNAcentral